This 493-nucleotide ribosomal RNA is filed under the name bacterium enrichment culture clone ALO1_GLFRUDD03FKWD6. RNAcentral's name for it is "bacterial SSU rRNA". It matches the Rfam family "Bacterial small subunit ribosomal RNA", at positions 9 to 496 of the family's 1533-position model. The record is from RNAcentral.
GAGUUUGAUCCUGGCUCAGAUUGAACGCUGGCGGCAGGCCUAACACAUGCAAGUCGAGCGGAUGACGGGAGCUUGCUCCUUGAUUCAGCGGCGGACGGGUGAGUAAUGCCUAGGAAUCUGCCUGGUAGUGGGGGACAACGUUUCGAAAGGAACGCUAAUACCGCAUACGUCCUACGGGAGAAAGCAGGGGACCUUCGGGCCUUGCGCUAUCAGAUGAGCCUAGGUCGGAUUAGCUAGUUGGUGGGGUAAUGGCUCACCAAGGCGACGAUCCGUAACUGGUCUGAGAGGAUGAUCAGUCACACUGGAACUGAGACACGGUCCAGACUCCUACGGGAGGCAGCAGUGGGGAAUAUUGGACAAUGGGCGAAAGCCUGAUCCAGCCAUGCCGCGUGUGUGAGGAAGGUCUUCGGAUUGUAAAGCACUUUAAGUUGGGAGGAAGGGCAGGUAAGUUAAUACCUUGCUGUUUUGACGUUACCGACAGAAUAAGCACCGG